ACUCAAAUGAAUUGACGGGGGCCCGCACAAGCAGCGGAGCGUGUGGUUUAAUUCGAGGCUACGCGAAGAACCUUACCUAGGUUGGACAUGGGGGUGGUAGGGAGCCGAAAGGUAACCGACCUUCGGGAGCCUCCACAGGUGCUGCAUGGCUGUCGUCAGCUCGUGUCGUGAGAUGUUCGGUUAAGUCCGAAAACGAGCGCAACCCUCGGCGUUAGUUACACGUGUCUAACGCGACUGCCCGUGAGAAACGGGAGGAAGGUGGGGAUGACGUCAAGUCAGCAUGGCCUUUAUAUCUAGGGCUACACACACGCUACAAUGGGGGACACAAUGGGAUGCCAACCCGCGAGGGGGAGCCAAUCCACCAAAGUCCUUCGUAGUUCGGAUUGCAGGCUGCAACCCGCCUGCAUGAAGCUGGAGUUGCUAGUAACCGCGCAUCAGCUACGGCGCGGUGAAUACGUUCCCGGGCCUUGUACACACCGCCCGU
Molecule: ribosomal RNA, 484 nt
Filed under: uncultured bacterium
Lineage: Bacteria
Description: partial 16S ribosomal RNA
Rfam family: Bacterial small subunit ribosomal RNA
Source: RNAcentral